This 250-nucleotide unclassified non-coding RNA is filed under the name fungal sp. RNAcentral describes it as "partial internal transcribed spacer region". The stretch from base 1 to 46 matches the Rfam family "Eukaryotic small subunit ribosomal RNA", at positions 1786 to 1831 of the family's 1831-position model. Lineage: Eukaryota; Fungi. The record is from RNAcentral.
AAGUCGUAACAAGGUUUCCGUAGGUGAACCUGCGGAAGGAUCAUUAUCAAAUUGAGAAUCUUUAUAUUCUUAAACCCCUUCUGUGUACUUGUACUUGUUGCUUUCAUGGGCAGUAAGCAUCAUGCUUGCGUUUGCCUCUAUGUGGCGAACCCAUGAAAGGUUUAUUUGAACUCCGUUAUUUUGUGAUAUCAGUCUGAGCAUGUGAAUUUAUUAAACGUCAAAACUUUCAACAACGGAUCUCUUGGUUCUC